This 526-nucleotide ribosomal RNA is filed under the name uncultured bacterium. RNAcentral's name for it is "partial 16S ribosomal RNA". It matches the Rfam family "Bacterial small subunit ribosomal RNA", at positions 355 to 889 of the family's 1533-position model. The record is from RNAcentral.
UGGGGAAUAUUGGACAAUGGGCGGAAGCCUGAUCCAGCAACGCCGCGUGAGGGAUGACGGCCUUCGGGUUGUAAACCUCUUUCAGUACCGACGAAGCGAAAGUGACGGUAGGUACAGAAGAAGGACCGGCCAACUACGUGCCAGCAGCCGCGGUAAUACGUAGGGUCCGAGCGUUGUCCGGAAUUAUUGGGCGUAAAGGGCUCGUAGGCGGUUUGUCGCGUCGGGAGUGAAAACAGCGGGGCUUAACUCGUUGCUUGCUUUCGAUACGGGCAGACUAGAGGUAUGCAGGGGAGAAUGGAAUUCCUGGUGUACGGUGAAAUGCGCAGAUAUCAGGAGGAACACCGGUGGCGAAGGCGGUUCUCUGGGCAUUACCUGACGCUGAGGAGCGAAAGUGUGGGGAGCGAACAGGAUUAGAUACCCUGGUAGUCCACACCGUAAACGUUGGGGCGCUAGGUGUGGGGUCCUUUCCACGGAUUCCGUGCCGUAGCUAACGCAUUAAGCGCCCCGCCUGGGGGAGUACGGCCGC